This 919-nucleotide ribosomal RNA is filed under the name uncultured bacterium. RNAcentral describes it as "bacterial SSU rRNA". It matches the Rfam family "Bacterial small subunit ribosomal RNA", at positions 20 to 945 of the family's 1533-position model. The record is from RNAcentral.
CGAAUUCGAAUAAGCGGCGGCUGCUUACCAUGCAGUCGAACGGUAACAGGUCUUCGGACGCUGACGAGUGGCGAACGGGUGAGUAAUACAUCGGAACGUGCCCAGUCGUGGGGGAUAACUACUCGAAAGAGUAGCUAAUACCGCAUACGAUCUGAGGAUGAAAGCGGGGGACCUUCGGGCCUCGCGCGAUUGGAGCGGCCGAUGGCAGAUUAGGUAGUUGGUGGGAUAAAAGCUUACCAAGCCGACGAUCUGUAGCUGGUCUGAGAGGACGACCAGCCACACUGGGACUGAGACACGGUCCAGACUCCUACGGGAGGCAGCAGUGGGGAAUAUUGGACAAUGGGCGCAAGCCUGAUCCAGCCAUACCGCGUGGGUGAAGAAGGCCUUCGGGUUGUAAAACCCUUUUGUUGGGAAAGAAAUCCAGCCGGCUAAUACCUGGCUGGGAUGACGGUACCCAAAGAAUAAGCACCGGCUAACUUCGUGCCAGCAGCCGCGGUAAUACGAAGGGUGCAAGCGUUACUCGGAAUUACUGGGCGUAAAGCGUGCGUAGGUGGUCGUUUAAGUCUGUUGUGAAAGCCCUGGGCUCAACCUGGGAACUGCAGUGGAAACUGGACGACUAGAGUGUGGUAGAGGGUAGCGGAAUUCCUGGUGUAGCAGUGAAAUGCGUAGAGAUCAGGAGGAACAUCCAUGGCGAAGGCAGCUACCUGGACCAACACUGACACUGAGGCACGAAAGCGUGGGGAGCAAACAGGAUUAGAUACCCUGGUAGUCCACGCCCUAAACGAUGCGAACUGGAUGUUGGGUGCAAUUUGGCACGCAGUAUCGAAGCUAACGCGUUAAGUUCGCGCCUGGGGAGUACGUCGCAGACUGAACUCAAAGGAAUUGACGGGGGCCCGCACAAGCCGUGGGAGUAUGUGGG